UACGGAGGGUGCGAGCGUUGUUCGGAAUUACUGGGCGUAAAGCGCGUGUAGGCGGCCGAUUAAGUCUGGUGUGAAAGCCCGGGGCUCACCCCCGGAAGUGCGCUGGAAACUGGUCGGCUAGAGUAUGGGAGAGGAAAGUGGAAUUCCCGGUGUAGCGGUGAAAUGCGUAGAUAUGUGGAGGAAUACCGAUGGCGAAGGCAGCCUCCUGGGCCAACACUGACGCUCAUGCACGAAAGCGUGGGGAGCAAACAGG
RNAcentral lists this ribosomal RNA (253 nucleotides) under uncultured bacterium. Its description in RNAcentral is "partial 16S ribosomal RNA". It matches the Rfam family "Bacterial small subunit ribosomal RNA", at positions 524 to 776 of the family's 1533-position model. The record is from RNAcentral.